GGUAGCCGAGGGCCUCAUGCAGAUUUUCUCCCGGAUGGGGUUACCCAGGGAGAUCAUCUUGGAUCAGGGUACUCAGUUUACCGUGGAGGUCACCCAGCACCUCUGGAAAUUCUGUGACAUUAAGCCUAUAAUCAGUGCCCCCUACCAUCCCCAGACCAAUAGGCUCUGUGAACGGUUCAAUGGUACAUUGAAACAGAUGCUCCGAACCUUCGCAGAGACCCACCGGGACUGGGAAUGAUUCCUGCCCCACCUCCUCUUCACUUAUCGGGAGGUACCACAGGAAUCGACCGGGUUUUCCCCGUUUGAAUUGUUAUUUGGAAGGAGAGUAAGAGGGCCACAAGAUCUUAUCAGGGAGCACUGGGAGGGAGACCAAAGCGCAGACGGUACACCAAUCAUACCAUAUGUGUUGGCGUUUUGAGACCGCCUAGAAGCAUUGACUAGGACGGUAAGGGAAAACCUUCAGGCGGCGCAGACCCGCCAGCGCACCUGGUAAGAUC
This is a non-coding RNA of Pelobates cultripes (western spadefoot toad), 497 nucleotides long. The record is from the annotation of a GenBank genome assembly. Lineage: Eukaryota; Metazoa; Chordata; Amphibia; Anura; Pelobatidae.